Molecule: ribosomal RNA, 253 nt
Filed under: uncultured bacterium
Lineage: Bacteria
Description: partial 16S ribosomal RNA
Rfam family: Bacterial small subunit ribosomal RNA
Source: RNAcentral
UACGGGAGGAGCGAGCAUUAUUCAAAAUGAUUAGGCGUAAAGAGUUUGUAGGUGGUUUAAUAAGUUGAAAAAUAAAAAAUAAAGCUUAACUUUAUUUCGUUUUCAAAACUUUUAAACUUGAGUAUAAAUAGAAGAUAAUAGAAUUUCUAUUGUAGGGAUAAAAUCUGUUGAUAAUAGAAAGAAUGCCAAAAGCGAAAGCAAUUAUCUAGGUAUAUACUGACAUUGAGAAACGAAAGCUUGGGUAGCGAACGGG